Molecule: ribosomal RNA, 468 nt
Filed under: Triticum aestivum (bread wheat)
Lineage: Eukaryota; Viridiplantae; Streptophyta; Magnoliopsida; Poales; Poaceae
Description: partial small subunit ribosomal RNA
Source: RNAcentral
AUGGAUUCACAUGUGCAUGGCAAUAAGCGUGCGGAGUAUGACAGGUUGUUGCGUGAAGCCCGCCGGGAGAGCGACGCGAAGGUCCAACACGAACGUGAUGAGAUGGAUAGGGCACAAAAACGUGCGUAUGUCGAUAGGAUGCUUAAGGAUGAGCGUGCUGAUAUGUCUCAAAAGAUUAAGCAGAUGCGUGAAGAGAUGGAAAAUAAGUUAAAGCAGGACCGCGAGGUCAUGGAAAAGAAAUUCCAGCUGGCGUACAAGGAGAUGCAGCUUAAAUUGCAAAAGGACCGGAAGGUUGUCGACGGCCUUAUACAGACAGAGCGUGUCAACAUGGACGCGAAUGUGUUGCAGGCACGUGCCAAUAUGGACAUUAGGCUGCAACAGGAGCGCAAGGACAUGGACUACAAGGCUAUGGUGGAGCAGGUCAUGAUGGAAGGAAAGAUGCUGGAAGACCGUGCGAUGUUUCAAUUC